Ribosomal RNA from Entamoeba invadens IP1, 1261 nucleotides. It matches the Rfam family "Eukaryotic large subunit ribosomal RNA", at positions 665 to 1888 of the family's 3401-position model. The record is from Rfam. Lineage: Eukaryota; Evosea; Mastigamoebida; Endamoebidae.
UCCACGAGGGUUAACAUCGGAGCGAAUAGGAAGGGAAGAAAACCCAGAUAUGAAGCGAAAAAGAAGGACCAAACAUAUAGCAGGAGUGACCUAGAAAAGGCUAGAGUUAAACUGUUGGGACCCGAAAGAUGGUGAACUAUGCUUGUAGUGUUUGAAGCCGAAGGAAACUUUGGUGGAAGGACUUAGGAGUGUUAACGUGCAAAUUACUUGCAAUAUAUGAGUAUAGGGGCGAAAGACUAAUCGAACUAUCUAGUAGCUGGUUCCACCUGAAUAUUCCCUUAGGAAGGUUGAAGUGAGAAAGUAGUGAUGAUUGGUAAAGAUAAUGAUUGGAUGUAAUGGAGAGCUUGACUUUUCAACAUUUUAACAAACUAUGAAUAGUCGAGAUAUUCUAAACGAUAAACAUUUAUUAGGAGUGAGCAUAUGCGGACUUCAAAUCGGCCAAGUCUGGUAAGCAGGACUGGCGAUGCGGGAUGAACCGAACAUACGGAUAAAGUAUCCAAGUCUUGCAUGAGGAGAACCAUAAAAGGUGUUCAUUCAUAUUGACAAUAGGACGAUGGCCAUGGAAGUUGGAAAUCGCUAAGGAGUGUGUAACAACUCACCUAUCGAAUGGAUGAGCCCUGAAAAUGGAAGGUAUUAUAAUGAGAGAGAGUGAUACUGUAUCCUUGUGGAGGCUGAGGCACACGAGGAGUAAGGAAAUGCAUGGUGUCAAGAAUUCAGAAAGUUAUAAAGGUAAAGAAGUAACUUCUAUUGGAACAGACUUAAGUACAGAUCUUGGUGGAAGUAGCAGAUACUUAGAAGAGGAAAAAAUAUCAAAGGACUGAAGAGGAGAAAAAUUCCUAGACAACAUUAAUUGGAAUAUGGUGAAUCAAUCCUAAAAGACGGAUGUAGAUUUAGUAGAAGAAACUGAGCUUGAAAAAGCGUUUACGCAUGAAAGGGAAAAAGACUAAAAGUUCUUUAUCAAUAGUCAAAAAGUCACGAAAAAAGGACUGAGAAAGUGGUAACAGGGGAUGAACUUUGGUAUGGGGUAUGACGGUAGCGACAAGAGAUCUCUUUUCUUGUUAACACGGAGGAACGGGCAUUGAAAUGAAUCAAGCAGAGGUAUGACUGUUAUACCCAUGGAAGAAACAGGGGGUAGUUUUGUUAUUGUACUGUGAAACUCAAAGACGGUCAAAAUCAAUUAUAUUCGCAAAAGAAAGUACUUAAAUUAUCGAAAGGAAAGAGUAUUGUAUUGAUUCAAUUUUUAUUGUCUUCGUUUUAAGUC